AAUGAGGGAUCUCAAUUAGCUCAAGAGUUCUUUUCAGAGUACAGGUUCGGAGCUUCAGGAGCCAGGGUCUCCUCAACUCUGUGUCGGCUGCCAAGGAGGGUAGGCCAGCUAACUUGUUGCCUUUGGUCUCGUGUGCUGCAUUCCAGAGUCUUACUAAUGGUCGCUUUAUGAAGAUGAGCCCCUCUUCACCUGGUACCAGGAUGCAGGCAACGACUUGUCCCCUCACCAACAGGCUGGGAUCUGCAAGGCCUCAUCAGUGGUAAGACGCUCUUGGCCCUGGAAAAGGACUGGACUUCAAUGCCCAGGAAGAGACAUGCCAGGUAUUUUUGAAAGAUGAUGGGAAUGAAAUACACACCCUAAUUUUGAAAAGAUGACUGCCCAUUGAUGCCUGCACAUGAAGACAAUUGAAGGAUGCUUGUGUGUUGUGUCUAUAGUCUAAGGAACUAGAGGGAGGCGGUGUGACAAAACCCACGGGGGACCUGCAGUCUGCCACUAUGCACCUUGAAUUGAUACAGGCAAUGGAAGACAUGCUUUCUUCUUUUCUUUAGACAUAAGUUCUCUAUAGGCAGCCCAGGCUGGUCUUUCUUCUGCAUCAGUGAUGGGGAACUCCUGUGUAUAUGUCAAUAAAGCACUGUUGGCCAAUAGGGAAGCAAGAUAGGUGGGACUAGGAGUCAAGCAGAAUUCUGGGAAGGAGAAACACAGGGAGU
Long non-coding RNA from Mesocricetus auratus (golden hamster), 707 nucleotides. RefSeq lists it as uncharacterized. The record is from RefSeq and is a predicted model, not a curated record. The transcript has 3 exons. Lineage: Eukaryota; Metazoa; Chordata; Mammalia; Rodentia; Cricetidae.